Erinaceus europaeus (western European hedgehog) is the source of this 442-nucleotide non-coding RNA. Lineage: Eukaryota; Metazoa; Chordata; Mammalia; Eulipotyphla; Erinaceidae. The record is from the annotation of a RefSeq genome assembly.
CAGAAGAUUGUGUUCAAUGAUGAUUCCCAUCAUGACUUGGUCCUCUCUGCUCUUAGCCCUACUUAUCCAAUGUGCAGGAUCCUGGGCCCAGUCUGUGCUGACUCAGCCAUCCUCGGUGUCUGGAAACCUGGGGCAGAGGAUCACCAUCUCCUGCACUGGAAACAGCAGCAACAUAGGGCAUAGUACUCAUGGAAAUUAUGUGUCUUGGUACCAACAACUCCCAGGAAUGGUCCCCCAAACCCUCAUAUACCAAACAACCAAGCGAUAUUCUGGGGUCCCUGAUCGCUUCUCUGGCUCCAGGUCUGGCAGCACAGCCUCCCUGACCAUCACAGGGCUCCAGUCUGAAGAUGAGGUUGACUAUUUUUGCUUUGUUUGGGAUGCUAGUCUAAGUGCUAACACAGUGCUCCAGGCCAGUAGGGAAGUGAGACAAAAACUAUUUUAA